GCCGAGCCUAGUAAAGUGGGCUUGUAACUCGAGCUAGGGUAUUGAGAUAAUGGAACAUUGAGCAAGUCUGACCAAUUCGUUCUAAUUGGUGAACGGUGGCUCGCCCUUUCUAAGCAUAGAGUUGGGCUAAGGUUUCCGGGCAAAGGCUUGGGCUUCUUAGCUCCUAGAGGGUAGGGCAAUGCGUGAGGCUGGUUUCACAAAGCAGCGAUAACCUCCCCUAUUCUUUGUAGUGGAAGGAUAACGAGCUUCUGCUGCUUGGGAUGCCUUACACUGAUUGGGCUAUCAUAUGGACCCUUAUCUCU
This 302-nucleotide signal recognition particle RNA is filed under the name Ipomoea nil (Japanese morning glory). RNAcentral's name for it is "Plant signal recognition particle RNA". It matches the Rfam family "Plant signal recognition particle RNA". The record is from Rfam by way of RNAcentral. Lineage: Eukaryota; Viridiplantae; Streptophyta; Magnoliopsida; Solanales; Convolvulaceae.